ACUAAAAUGGCAGAAAAUGCAAUAGGUUUUAAACUCCUAAUAUGAAGAAUUCUUCUUUUAGUACCCCC
RNAcentral lists this transfer RNA (68 nucleotides) under Sinopotamon yaanense. Its description in RNAcentral is "tRNA-Leu". The record is from RNAcentral. Lineage: Eukaryota; Metazoa; Arthropoda; Malacostraca; Decapoda; Potamidae.